UACGAAGGGGGCUAGCGUUGCUCGGAAUUACUGGGCGUAAAGGGCGCGUAGGCGGGUCUUUAAGUCAGGGGUGAAAUGCCAGGGCUCAACCUUGGAACUGCCUUUGAUACUGAGAAGCUUGAGUCCGGGAGAGGUGAGUGGAAUUGCGAGUGUAGAGGUGAAAUUCGUAGAUAUUCGCAAGAACACCAGUGGCGAAGGCGGCUCACUGGCCCGGAACUGACGCUGAGACGCGAAAGCGUGGGGAGCAAACAGG
This 253-nucleotide ribosomal RNA is filed under the name uncultured bacterium. RNAcentral's name for it is "partial 16S ribosomal RNA". It matches the Rfam family "Bacterial small subunit ribosomal RNA", at positions 524 to 776 of the family's 1533-position model. The record is from RNAcentral.